ACAUGCAACAUCUGCGGCUGCGAGGAGGAGGAUGAAUUUCAUGCGGUUAUUGAAUGCACUAAGAGCAGAGCCCUAAGAACCGCCAUGAGGAAGGAUUGGGACAUCCCACAUGAAAUAUGGUUUCGGCGCAUGGGACCUGACUGGCUUCAGCUGCUACUUGCGUCCAUCCCCGAGGAAUCACGAGUGCGAGUAAUCAUGCUCUUCUGGAGGUGUUGGCAUCUGCGCGAUAACUGUAUUCAUGGAGACGGAAAGAGCCCAUCAUGCAGUCUGUUCUCUUUCUCUUGCGAUACGAGGAGGACCUGCUAUAAGCUGGCCAAGAUCAACCAUCGUUUUUAG
RNAcentral lists this ribosomal RNA (336 nucleotides) under Triticum aestivum (bread wheat). RNAcentral's name for it is "partial small subunit ribosomal RNA". Lineage: Eukaryota; Viridiplantae; Streptophyta; Magnoliopsida; Poales; Poaceae. The record is from RNAcentral.